Molecule: long non-coding RNA, 616 nt
Filed under: Homo sapiens (human)
Lineage: Eukaryota; Metazoa; Chordata; Mammalia; Primates; Hominidae
Description: HSALNT0282291
Source: RNAcentral
UAUUAUUAAUGUUGCUCUUUUGUUUCAUAAAAGGUUUGGCACCUUUCAUGAAACAGUUUCAAGGACUCCCUUCUAGAUUCUAAAUAAUUCCUUCCCUCCCAGUUUCCAACUAUGGCUCCUUUCAAGCGUAUUGAUGGAGUUGGACAACGUGCAAUUACUUUUUUUUUUUGCUUUUCCAUUUUGAAAGGUUGGUAAUUAGCUUCUGAGUACUUGCCUAUGGUUAACUAAAGUACAAACAAGAAAUAGCAAUCAAAAACCUCAAGUUUUCUGCUCUUUUGCGCCAAUACUCCAUUAAGUAUUAUCUGCCUUUAGGCACCUCCUGGUAGAAUAGGAUCUCUUUUGCAGUGAACCUCUUUCUGGUGAUGAUGGCAAGGAAAAGGAUUCCAUAUUGAAGUUGCACAGGGCCAGGACAGCAGGGCCAACAAUGUGAGGCGGCAGUGUGGGAAGGUGGGAAUAGUAGAGAUGGAGAAUCAACUUCGGCUAACUCAGAAGGUUAUUAUGAUGAGAAAUAUCUCUCUCUCUCUCUCUCUCUCUCUCCUGUUAUCACUGGUUCUAGGGGCAGCCAUGUCCUGAGCAGCCCUGUGGAGAGACCCACCAGCUAAGGAACUGAAGCCUC